GGGAGGCAAGUGUAGCUGGUGCGCACCUUAGGCUUCAAACCUAAUGUAGGGCUAGAUGACUAGUCCUUGGGGAGUUCGAUUCUCUCGCCUUCUCGCCA
This 98-nucleotide transfer RNA is filed under the name Helicobacter sp. RNAcentral describes it as "tRNA-Sec". It matches the Rfam family "Selenocysteine transfer RNA". Lineage: Bacteria; Pseudomonadati; Campylobacterota; Epsilonproteobacteria; Campylobacterales; Helicobacteraceae. The record is from RNAcentral. RNAcentral also lists the same sequence under 4 other names.